Molecule: ribosomal RNA, 253 nt
Filed under: uncultured bacterium
Lineage: Bacteria
Description: partial 16S ribosomal RNA
Rfam family: Bacterial small subunit ribosomal RNA
Source: RNAcentral
UACGUAGGGGGCAAGCGUUGUCCGGAAUUAUUGGGCGUAAAGCGCGUGUAGGCGGCCCGAUAAGUCUGAUGUGAAAUCUUCGAGCUCAACUCGGAAACUGCAUCGGAAACUAUUCGGCUGGAGGAUUGGAGGGGAGACUGGAAUUCUCGGUGUAGCAGUGAAAUGCGUAGAUAUCUGGAGGAACACCGGUGGCGAAGGCGGCAUCCUGGACCAAUACUGACGCUGAGGAGCGAAAGCCAGGGGAGCAAACGGG